GCUGGGAUAGCUCAGGUAGUAGAGCAUUCGCCUGAAGAGCGAGGGGUCGGCAGUGCAAAUCUGCCUCCCAGCACCA
This 76-nucleotide transfer RNA is filed under the name bacterium. Its description in RNAcentral is "tRNA-Phe". It matches the Rfam family "tRNA". Rfam says of the family: Transfer RNA (tRNA) molecules are approximately 80 nucleotides in length. The record is from RNAcentral.